AUGUCUCUAUUAGUCAGCUUUGCUGAAGUAACAAACAACCCUCAAAAUUUUAGUGGCUUGCACCAACAUAUAUUGCUCUUAUUAAUGUCAGCAACUGCAGAUUUGCUACUUCAGCUCUACCCUACGGUGUUUUUUCCUUGCAGGCCCCAUGUGUCUUCUCAUUCUGGAAACCAGGCAGAAAAGACAGCCCUUUAUGAGAUAUGCCAUUCUUGGGGCAGAAGGAAAGAGCUAGACCCUGUUAACUUAAAUAACCUCCAUGGAUGUGGCAUACGCAAGUGCUCAAGCCAGACACAGUAACAGCCAGUGUCAGUUGCCAAACACAUGAGUGAAGAAGCCUUCAUAUUAUUCCAACUCCAGCCUUAGAGCCUUCUAGCUGAGGCCCCUUCAUCACAGUAGAGGUAAGCCCUCCCUAUCCUUUCCUGUUUGAAUUUUUGAUCCAUAAAAACUGUGAGAAAUAAAUAUUUAUUUUUGUUUUAAGUCA
This 481-nucleotide long non-coding RNA is filed under the name Felis catus (domestic cat). RNAcentral describes it as "lncRNA (ENSFCAG00000042457.2)". The record is from RNAcentral. Lineage: Eukaryota; Metazoa; Chordata; Mammalia; Carnivora; Felidae.